Long non-coding RNA from Rhinolophus ferrumequinum (greater horseshoe bat), 1734 nucleotides. RefSeq lists it as uncharacterized. The record is from RefSeq and is a predicted model, not a curated record. NCBI's taxonomy places the organism in Eukaryota, Metazoa, Chordata, Mammalia, Chiroptera, Rhinolophidae. The transcript is spliced from 3 exons.
GGAGAAAGGGGAAAGCUGAAGGCUGUGGAAUGUGGGUGCCGUUCCUCCCACGGCAGAGCCACGCAGGGGGGUGUGACCAGCAUCAGGGAGGCUGGGAAAGACCCAGUGACCGGACAGUGACAGGUUUCCUCCCCGCCGGUGGGCGCGAUUGCGGGAGGACGUGCCAGCAAGGCCAACGCGGAUUGGGUCCACUUUCCUGUCCCAAAGGAGAUGACUCCCAGAAGGAAGCAGAAGCCUCAAGCCAGGGAAAGAUACAGGACUGAUUCAAGACUGUGGGGUUCAUAACAACCCCUCAAAACCAGCACAUGACCUGCGAGGUGGCCAAUGGGAGUAAUGUCUGCUCAGAAUGGCACACCCUUCUUCAGGGCAAUAUUCAUUUGGACCACAAGGUAGGGGCUACCAAUCAUGGUCUUCCAUCAGCCUGGCCACAGAAACUGCUCCAGGAACGUACGUGUGAACCAACAUGACACAAUAGGUGGACAUCCCUGGGAUUUUCCAAAGCAGAGCAAGGAAAGAGAGCCUUUCAUCUUUGAUCACUGAGCUGUGAGAAUAUAAGUUUGAAAUUGCUGGGAUUAUGAAUCCUUCCCCUUAAGAAAGAAAAAAUACCGAGAAACAGGGAAACAGAGCAAGUUCCAAUGACGCUCCUAUCCUUUGAUUGCAUACAUGAACCAAUAAAUUCCCCCUUUUCUCUUAAACUACUUCAGGUGGUUUCCGCCAUUUGCAACUGAAAGAAUAACUACUAUUCAUGCUGGUUUUCUGGAUAAGUGUACUAAGGCUCCAAAGAUUAGGUAACCUGCCUGAAACUCACGCAUCCCAAGUGCCUGGGUAGGAGGCCUCUCCACAUUUAUCUGGCUCUGGACCAGUGCUCUGUGUCUUCAGGUCAGUCUCAGUAACACUGUGUUGGGCUAGUGCCAACAGUGAGCUAGCGCUGGCUAUUACUCAUGACAGCCCAUUAUUAAUAUUCAGGAAUUUUGUAAGCCAGUUGAUAUCACAUUGGUAGCUUGAAAUUGGCCAUGUUGGGAUUAUUUACACCACAGAAAUUUGCAAAUGGUACAAAACCAGGGCAUCCCCCAUCCCCAAGAGCCAGUUGUUAAACAUUCAACACAUACAUCUUGAAAGUUCAUUUCCUUUCUGGGCUCAAAGGGGACAUUCUCAGUACCACUCUUGGAGCCAGUGCAUGUCUAGUGGCCACCAGAUGUCUGAGCCUGGAAAGAGAUGCCCCCAGAAAAUCGCAGGUACUUGGUUGAGCCCUCCUCAACCUGCAUCGGGGACCUCUGGAGCUCCAUGUCUCUGCAUGGAGUCCCUAUGGGCAUGAACAAAGUCCCUUCUGCUUUUGUUCUUACACAGCUCAGCUCAGCGUGAGACACAGAGCGAGUGUAUGCUGCCUGACCCAGCAAUGAAGCAAUUCUUGCAUCCAGGCCUGUCUCACUCAAGAAGGGGGAGGAGGGUUUUAGGGGAGCUCAAUUUGCUUGUGGAGUCCCCACAAAGAAAGGAGAAUGGGAGUCUAUUCCCAUGGGAUGGGCAGUGACCCAGCGUGUCAUGGGCAGAAGCACACCUUCUUCUGACCCGUUCUCACUCAGUGCUGAGGCAGCCCAGGCCAUAUUUCUGACAUCAAAUCUAGUGUUAAGAGGAUCUAAUACCAAUCCUGCUCAAGCUCUUCCAAGAAACUGAAGAAGAGACAGUACUCCCUAACUCAUUUUAUGAGGCCAACAUCACCCUGAUACCAAAACCUGG